RNAcentral lists this ribosomal RNA (877 nucleotides) under uncultured bacterium. Its description in RNAcentral is "bacterial SSU rRNA". It matches the Rfam family "Bacterial small subunit ribosomal RNA", at positions 28 to 870 of the family's 1533-position model. The record is from RNAcentral.
GACGAACGCUGGCGGCGUGCUUAACACAUGCAGUCGAACGGUNACAGGAAGCAGCUUGCUGGUUCGCUGACGAGUGGNGGACGGNGGAGUAAUGUCUGGNNAACUGCCUGAUGGAGGGGGAUAACUACUGGGAACGGUAGCUAAUACCCGCAUAACGUCCCCAGAACCAAGAGGGGGGACCUUCGGGCCUCCUUGCCCUUCGGAUGUGCCCAGAUGGGAUUAGCUAUUUAGGUGGGGGUAACGGCUCACCUAGGCGAACAUCCCUAGCUGGUCUGAGAGGAUGACCAGCCACACUGGAACUGAGACACGGUCCAGACUCCUACGGGAGGCAGCAGUGGGGGAAUAUUGCACCAAUGGGCGCAAGCCUGAUGCAGCCAUGCCGCGUGGUAUGAAGAAAGGCCUUCGGGUUGUAAAGUACUUUCAGCGGGGAGGAAAGGGAGUAAAGUUAAUACCUUUGCUCAUUGACGUUACCCGCAGAAGAAGCACCGGCUAACUCCGUGCCAGCAGCCGCGGUAAUANCGGAGGGUGCCAAGCGUUAAUCGGAAUUACUGGGCGGUAAAAGCGCACGCCAGGCGGUUUGUUAAGUCAGAUGUGAAAAUCCCCGGGGCUUCAACCCUGGGAACUGCAUCUGAUACUGGGCAAGCUUGAGUCUCGUAGAGGGGGGGUAGAAUUUCCAGGUGUAGCGGUGAAAUGCGUAGAGAUCUGGAGGAAUACCGGUGGCGAAGGCGGCCCCCUGGACGAAGACUGACGCUCAAGUGCGAAAGCGUGGGGAGCAAACAGGAUUAGAUACCCUGGUAGUCCACGCCGUAACGAUGUCGACUUGGAGGUUGUGGCCCUUGAAGGCGUGGCUUCCGGAGCUAACGCCGUUAAGUCGACC